Brachypodium distachyon (stiff brome) is the source of this 3416-nucleotide RNA transcript. It is a transcript of the gene named pentatricopeptide repeat-containing protein At5g03800, with no coding region annotated. The transcript is spliced from 3 exons. NCBI's taxonomy places the organism in Eukaryota, Viridiplantae, Streptophyta, Magnoliopsida, Poales, Poaceae. The record is from RefSeq and is a predicted model, not a curated record.
CUUGGAGUGAAAUGAAUGGCCACAUCCACCUCAUCCUCCCCUCCCGCUCUCCCCCUCGCACCUCCGCCCCCGCCCCGCUCCCGCUCGCGCCUCCCCUUCCCGCCCCAUCCGCCGCCUCAGCCCGCCGCCACCGCCGUCCAUGGCACCGCACCCCACCCCCGCCUCCCGCCCCGCACGGCCGACCCGCGCGCCGCGCACGCGGUCGCCGUCAAGUCCGGCGCGGCCGCCCUGCCGGACGCGCGCCUCGCCAACGCCGUCAUGUGCGGGUACCUCCGCGCGGGCCGCCUGGACGACGCGCGGGGGGUGUUCGACCGUAUGCCCGCCCGCGACGCCGCCUCCUACAGCGCGCUCAUCUCGGGCCACGCGCGCCUGGGCUCCCCCGCCUCCGCCGCCGAGGCGCUCUUCCGCCGCAUGCGCCUCGCGGGCCUCGCCCCCACCGAGUACACCUUCGUCGGCCUCCUCACCGCCUGCAUCCGCAGGGGCAACCCGCGGCUCGGGACCCAGGUGCACGCGCUCGCCGCCAAGUACCCGUGCUGCUGCUGCGGCGGCUCGCUCCUCGUCGCCAACGCGCUCCUCGGCAUGUACGUCAAGUGCGGCCGCUUCGAGGACGCUAUGAGGGUGUUCGACGGGAUGGAGGGGCGCGACGUGUCGUCGUGGAACACGGUGCUCUCUGGCCUGGUCGAGCUGGGGAGGUACGAGGAGGCGUUUGAGCUGUUUGAGGACAUGCGAGCAGGCGGUAUUGCGGCUGAUCGGUUCUCGCUGUCGGCGCUCUUGACCGCGGCCGCAGAGGGGUUCGGCCUGCCCGAGGGGGCAGCAGUGCACGCUCUGUCUCUCAAGUCCGGGUUGGAGGUUGAUCUCAGUGUUGGCAAUGCGCUUAUUGGCUUUUAUGCCGAGCAUGGUGAUUCUGUUGAGGAUGUGGUCGGCGUGUUUCAGAGGAUGCUGGUGAAGGACGUAAUUUCGUGGACCGGAUUACUCAAUGGAUACAUGGAGUUUGGUUUAGUUGACACGGCUCUGGCUGUGUUUGAUCGGAUGCCGGAGAGGAAUUUUGUUACAUACAAUGCAGUAUUGACUGGGUUUUGUCUGAACAAGGAAGGUGUCCGAGUCACUUUUGCUAAGAAGGCGGGGCUGCGAGGGCUGGGUUUGUUUAGGCAAAUGCUCGAGAAUGGGCUGGAGAUGUCAGACGUUACAGUGACUGGUGUCCUCAAUGCUUGUGCUAUCGUGGCAGAUAGGAAGAUGAGUGAGCAGGUCCACACAUUUGUGAUUAAGUGCGGCUGUGGUUCUAGUCCCUGGAUUGAUGCUGGACUGAUAGACAUGUGCAUCAAGUGUGGCAGGUCUGGAGAUGCACGUCUAUUGUUUGAGCAUUGGCGCCAUCCGGAGAGCUUUCACAUUGCUUGGAAUUCGUUGCUACUUGCCAGCUUCAGAGAUGGAGAGUAUGAGAAAGCGUUUUCUAUCUUCCUUCAAAAGUUUAGAAGCAGUGAUGUUCAGUUCAUUGACGAGUUCAUGUUGAGUACUGUUCUUGGAGUUUGUGGUGCUUUAGGUUUUGCCGAGCUUGGAAAGGAAAUGCAUUCGUUUGCUGCAAAAUCUGGGCAUUUGCACGCUUGUGGAGUUGGUAAUGCUAUAAUCAGUAUGUAUGGAAAGUGUGGACAAUUAGAAAAUGCUGUUAAUUUCUUUCAGCAAAUGCCUCAUCGAGACCUCGUGUCAUGGAAUGCGCUGAUCACUGCUCAUCUUCUCCAUCGCCAGGGAGAUGAGAUACUGGACAUAUGGUCUCAAAUGGAGAGAUUAGUCAUCAAGCCUGAUUCCAUUACCUUUCUUCUGAUCGUAUCAGCUUGCAGUUACACAAGCUCAGAUUCAGUAGAUAAAUGUAUGAAACUGUUUCACUAUAUGUCUAGCAAAUACAACAUUGAACCUGCCAUGGAGCACUUUGCAGCAUUUGUGUAUGUCCUUGGCUGCUGGGAUCGUUUUGAUGAGGCAGAACAGUUUAUAGGUAGUAUGCCAUUCAAGCCUGGUGCAUUAGUUUGGAGAUCUUUGCUAGAAAGCUGUAGCAAGCGAUCAAAUAUGACAAUGCGGAGGCGAGCAAUGAAUCAUCUGCUUGCAUUGGAACCACAAGACCCAUCCACAUAUGUUCUGGCAUCUAAUCUGCUCUCUGAAUCAGCAAGGUGGCAUUGCUCAGAGAACACAAGGCAGGAGAUGCGUGAAAAAGGCAUCCAUAAGAUUCCAGCAAGGAGCUGGACAUUUCAUAACAACACAGUUCACUCAUUUUUCGCACGGGAUAGAUUGCACCCUCAGUCCAAGGACAUAUAUGCUGGUCUGGAUGUGCUAACCCUUGAGUGCAUGAAGGCAGGGUAUGAACCAGACACCACCUUUGUCCUACAUGAUGUUGAGGAACACCAAAAGAGGCAUUUCCUAAUGUACCACAGUGCAAAGCUAGCUGCUACAUAUGGCCUUCUAAUGUCAGGCCCUGGGCAAAGUGUCAAUGUUGUGAAGAACAUCCGCAUGUGUGGUGAUUGUCACUCAUUUAUGAAGCAUGCAUCUGCUGCCACCGGGAAAGAGAUUUCAGUCAGAGACUCGAGUGGGUUUCAUAUUUUCAGGGGAGGGGUUUGUUCCUGUAGAGAAUAGAGACUGGUACGGCACCACCAAUUUUGACUUUUUUGCACCGUCUUUGUAGUACUGUAGAAACUAUAGAAGAUAUCCUUGUAUUGAGGUCCUGUACAUCACUAUGAGUUUCUUCAGAAGCAUUCACGGGAGAACAGCCUGAACUGCUGAACAUCAUACUUGACAAUUACCUAAUGACUGCAAUUAGCCCGAGGUUUAGGGAUAGAACAGAGCUAAUGAGUAAUGCAUUGUGCUUCUGCCUGGUAGGGGAAAGAAGGAAAACUUAAAGGCAAGGAUGUGUCAGUGUGUCUUGUCUUGUCGGUAAGCAAGGAUAGUUGUUAUUGUUCCUUCUCACUGUAAUCUGUGUUGAGAACCUGAUUGUAGCUCCUUAUUUAGGCCAUGUUUGUUUGAACUUCUGUUUCAGCUUUUGGUGUUUUUAGCAAUUUCAAAAACACUUCUCCUGUUUACACAUGAAGCUGAGAAGCACCUCCGGACGUGCUUUUGGUGCUUCUAAACGGAAGAAGUGUUUUUGAGAUUGCUAGAAGCAACAAAAGCAAACAAACAGGGCCUUAGACUGUUCACAGCUAGGACUGCUAGUUAGACUGUUUGAUUUUUCUUUUCUUAUUUAGACAGUUAGUUCACUUCCAGUCGACCAGAUUUCCGCUAUAUCCAAAGACCAGUUUGCACCCUACAAAAAAAAUCACCAAUAACCACUGGUUUAUUCUGUGCAUAGUAGAUACCCUCGUAUAGUGUUUACUGGGUUGUAUAUUUACAGGGAUCCCUAACAGCUGGAUUUGAGACACGAUUGAAUGGUCCACGUUCAA